AGUGAACGCUGGCGGUAUGCCUAACACAUGCAAGUCGAACGGCAGCACAGUAAGAGCUUGCUCUUACGGGUGGCGAGUGGCGGACGGGUGAGGAAUACAUCGGAAUCUACUUUUUCGUGGGGGAUAACGUAGGGAAACUUACGCUAAUACCGCAUACGACCUACGGGUUAGAGCAGGGGAUCUUCGGACCUUGCGCGAUUGAAUUAGCCGAUGUCGGAUUAGCUAGUUGGCGGGGUAAAGGCCCACCAAGGCGACGAUCCGUAGCUGGUCUGAGAGGAUGAUCAGCCACACUGGAACUGAGACACGGUCCAGACUCCUACGGGAGGCAGCAGUGGGGAAUAUUGGACAAUGGGCGCAAGCCUGAUCCAGCCAUACCGCGUGGGUGAAGAAGGCCUUCGGGUUGUAAAGCCCUUUUGUUGGGAAAGAAAAGCAGCAGGUUAAUACCCCGCUGUUCUGACGGUACCCAAAGAAUAAGCACCGGCUAACUUCGUG
RNAcentral lists this ribosomal RNA (492 nucleotides) under uncultured bacterium. Its description in RNAcentral is "partial 16S ribosomal RNA". It matches the Rfam family "Bacterial small subunit ribosomal RNA", at positions 29 to 507 of the family's 1533-position model. The record is from RNAcentral.